GAUCAUUGUCAAAACCACUCUAACGAAUCACCCUCUCUAGGAUUUGAUCCACCACAUGACGGUGUUGAACAUGGAUACUAUGAUGAGGAUGAUGAUGAUGACUUUGAUCUUGAUGAUGCAAUGAGACACUUUGGUCUUAUGGCAAAUCUUCGGGGAUAUAUGUCAGGAGGAAAGGAAUGGGUUCUUGAUAGUGGAUGUACCGAUCACAUGACCGGAGAUAAAGACAUGUUUCGUGAGCUUGCUGAUAAUGAUAGUCCUCAAAAGUAUGUCACCUUCGGUGACAACUCAAAGGGUAAGGUGGUUGGCCUUGGUAAGGUGGCCAUCUCACAUGAUAGCUCCAUACAAAAUGUCAUGCUCGUUGAAUCUCUUGGAUACAACUUACUUUCAGUAUCUAGACUUGCUGACUUUGGUUUCAGUGUCUUAUUUACUAAAGUUGAUUGCCAAGUGUUUCGUCGAGACAAUCAUAAAAUGGUCUUUACCGGUAUACGUAGAGGUGAUUUAUACAUUAUUGAUUUCACUAAAAAGGCCCAACCUAAAACUUGCUUCAUUGCUAAAUCCUCAAAAGGUUGGUUAUGGCAUAGACGACUAGGUCACGUUGGCAUGAGAAACCUUGACAAGCUUAUUAAAGGAAAUCAUAUCCUUGGUGUCAACGAUGUCAUAUUUGAUAAGGAUAGACUUUGUAGUGCUUGUCAAGCAGGUAAACAGGUUGGAGGAAGGCAUCCCGUGAAGAACAUCAUGACCACAAGGAGGCCACUUGAGCUACUUCACAUGGAUCUCUUUGGUCCCAACUCUUACAAGAGUCUCGGUGGAAAUUCUUUUGGUCUAGUUAUAGUUGAUGAUUUUUCAAGAUUUACGUGGGUGUUCUUUCUCGAUGAUAAAUCACAGGUCCAAAAGAUCUUCAAGAACUUCGCUAGGAAGGCCCAAAAUCAAUUUGAAGUGAAGAUCAAGAAGGUUCGCAGCGACAACGGAACGGAAUUCAAGAACGCAAAUGUGGACACCUUUCUUGACGAAGAAGGGAUUUCACACGAGUUCUCGGCUACGUACACACCUCAACAAAAUGGAGUUGUUGAGAGGAAGAACCGGACGCUCAUCAAAAUGGCGAGAAUGAUGCUUGAUGAGUACAAGACACCGAAGCACUUUUGGGCAGAAGCGGUUGAGACAGCUUGUCAUGCAACAAAUCGCUUGUAUCUUCACAAGCUACUCGGCAAGACGGCAUACGAGCUCCUCACCGGUAACAAAUCCCAAGUUGGAUACUUUCGAGUAUUCGGCUCAAAGUGCUACAUUCUUGAUAAGCAUCGUCGUUCUAAAUUUGCUUCUAAGUCUCACGAAGGUUUCCUACUAGGUUAUGGCUCAAACUCUCACACUUAUCGUGUCUACAACAAUUUCACCCGAAAGGUUGAAGAGACGGUAGAUGUGAAGUUUGAUGAAUCUAAUGGCUCACAAGUAGAGCAAUUGCCAAUUGAUGUACGAGACAAAGAUCCUUCGGAAGCUAUCCAAGACUUGUCUAUUGGCAAGGUUCGUCCAACGGAGGUGAAGGAGAGUACCUCGUCCGUCCAAGUGGAAGCUUCUACUUCACGACAAGGUGAACCAAGAGUUGACACGGAAGCAUCCACUAGUGGGACACACCAAGAUGAAGAAAACGAGGAAGUGCAUCAAGAUGAACGUCAACGACCUCCUUCUCCACCACGACAAGAGAACGACAACGCCAAUAAUGAAGAAGAUAAAGAAGAAGAAGAAGAUGAAGAAGAAGUUCAGCCAAGAUCCAAGCAAAAGCUUUCACGAGUUCGAGCAAGAAUUGCUAAAGACCAUCCCAUCGAGCAAAUCUACAAUGAUAUUCAAACCGGGAGAAUCACUCGCUCUAAAAUUCGUUUAGCUAACUUUUGUGAAAACUAUUAUUUCAUCUCUAGCAUUGAACCUAUGAAGGUUGAAGAAGCAUUGGAAGAUCCGGAUUGGAUUAACGCUAUGCAUGAAGAGCUACACAACUUCGAGAGAAACCAAGUUUGGACAUUGGUUGAGAAGCCCAACAACAACCACAACAUCAUCGGUACCAAAUGGGUGUUUCGCAACAAGCAAGAUGAAGAUGGACAAGUAGUUCGCAACAAAGCACGUCUCGUCGCCCAAGGCUACACACAAGCCGAAGGUAUGGACUAUGGUGAGACUUAUGCUCCUGUUGCUAGACUUGAGUCUAUUCGCAUCUUACUUGCCUAUGCUAAUCACCAUGAUAUCACAUUGUACCAA
This 2238-nucleotide ribosomal RNA is filed under the name Triticum aestivum (bread wheat). RNAcentral's name for it is "partial small subunit ribosomal RNA". Lineage: Eukaryota; Viridiplantae; Streptophyta; Magnoliopsida; Poales; Poaceae. The record is from RNAcentral.